CUCUGUGUCACACACACACACUCUGUGUCCCCGUCUCUCUCCCACUGGAGAUUUGUUCCCGUCUCCAGUGAAGGAAUUGUAACGGUGUAAAUGCAGGAAUGUGAGUGAUGAUAUUUUACAGACUAGAGUUACAGAUUUAAAGCUGUUGAUACUCACAGUGCUCUGACCAUUCCUGCUCCCCCCCCCACCCCUGGUUAAUGUGUGUGUGUGUGUGUGUUACCGGGACCCUGUUUCACGUUCCUGUCUCCUUCACAGACGGGCGUCGGGAUUGUCUACAGACGGAAGAUGGACACAAAUAGCUGGAGUAACUCAGCGGGACAGACGGGCAGCAUCUCUGGAGAGAGAAGGAAUGGGUGAUGUUUCGGCUCGAGACCCUUCUUCAGACUGGCCUUUCUGUCCUGGGCCUCCUCCAUGGCCAGAGUGAGGCCCAGUGCAAGCUGGAGGAGCAGCACCUCAUAUUUCACUUGGGCAGCUUACACCCCAGCGACGGGCGUCGGGAUUGUCUACAGACGGAAGAUGGACACAAAUAGCUGGAGUAACUCAGCGGGACAGACGGGCAGCAUCUCUGGAGAGAGAAGGAAUGGGUGACGUUUCGGCUCGAGACCCUUCUUCAGACUGGCCUUUCUGUCCUGGGCCUCCUCCAUGGCCAGAGUGAGGCCCAGUGCAAGCUGGAGGAGCAGCACCUCAUAUUUCACUUGGGCAGCUUACACCCCAGCGGUAUGAACAUUGACCUCUAACCUCAAGCUCGCUACAUCUUUCCCUCUCAAUCCCAGUCUCCUGCAUUCUCCCCGUAACCUUUGACCCCCUUCCUAAUGGGGGACCCACCAAUCCCCGCUCUAAAAAUAUACUCGAUGACGUGGCCUCCACCGUUGUCUGUGGCAAUGAAUUCCACAGAGUACAGGCCCAGUGCCGUCAAACGCUCAUCACAUGUUAACCCAAUCAUCCCAGCGACCGUGCUCCUAAACCUCUGGGCUCUCUCCAGAGCCAGCGGGUCUGUCUUCAGAUAUAAGGCCCAAAACCGCUCCUUAUAUUCCAAGUGUGGCUUCAUUAAGCCUCAGCAUUACAUCCUUGCUUUUAUACACUAGGAUUCAAUGAUUAUACACGCAUGCACACACACAAAUACAUACACACACACUCACACAGGAGACAAUAAACUAAACUAAACUUGGUGUGUGAUGAAAUCAGUCUUGCGUUGUGGAAUUGCCGCUUCUUUGAAAGACGUGUGAAUCCAGCACAACCUAUAGCUUGGAGCAGGGUGGUGUCAAACUCAUUGGACAAGAUGGGACUUCAUGCGGGCCUGAUCAGUUGCACACUCACUCUAAGUGAGUGAGGCUGUAGAUCAGGCGUGAUGGCACAGCGGUAGAGUUGCUGCCUCCCAGCGCCAGAGACCCGGGUUCGAUCCCAACCACGGGUGCUGUCUCUACGGAGUUUACACGUCCUCCCCGUGGGUGUCUCCGAGAUCUUCGGUUUCCUCCCACGCUCCAGAGACGUGCAGGUUUGUAUUUCAAUUGGAUUGGUACAAGUAAAAUUGUAGGGUUGUGUUAAUGUGUAGUGUUAACUAGACCAAGUGGGACCCGUUGGGGGAACUGCGGUUUGGGAGGGGGGGUGGCUGUGGCCUGAAGCCAUGCUCGCGCGCACACACACACACGCGGGUUUUUUUAAUUUCAAAGUUUUGAUCGAUUUUUCAACAUUUUCAUUUAUAACGAGAAAUAAAGCACAAAUUUUUCAGUUAAGGCGAUUUCGGACCCCAGGGGAAAAAUCUCUACCGGAAAAUGUAAAAAAUUUACCAUUAGCGCGUCGUUUUUACGAGAAGACGUGAUUAUACACAAACAAACAAACACACACACGAACAAACACAUCCACGAUCAGAAUUUUAAGUGAUAUGAUGUGUGACGAUCGCUAUUCGCUGGGCACUGCGUUUGUCCCACCAACCAAACACACAAUAUUCCCAAAGGUAUAUCUUUUUCACAGAGCUGUGAGUCUAGAAUUCAUCUGUUUGCUUUGACAUCAACUUCCCCCAACUAACAAUGAAUUCUAUAUGUUCCUUGAUCUUCAUCCCCUUUGUCCUGUUUUCACACCUUGCACUUCCUUGUGAAUGAUUGAUAAUGUUUUAUUCUUAAUUGUUUACUGUCUGUCGUGUUGUUCCUUGCGAGUGGAGCACUGAGACAAAUUCCUUGUAUGUGUACACACUUGGCCAAUAAACUUAUUCACACCC
Long non-coding RNA from Leucoraja erinaceus (little skate), 2215 nucleotides. RefSeq lists it as uncharacterized. The transcript has 2 exons. NCBI's taxonomy places the organism in Eukaryota, Metazoa, Chordata, Chondrichthyes, Rajiformes, Rajidae. The record is from RefSeq and is a predicted model, not a curated record.